RNAcentral lists this unclassified non-coding RNA (557 nucleotides) under Sitophilus oryzae (rice weevil). RNAcentral's name for it is "uncharacterized LOC115889124, transcript variant X2". The record is from RNAcentral. Lineage: Eukaryota; Metazoa; Arthropoda; Insecta; Coleoptera; Curculionidae.
UUCUUUGUCUAUGGAAGGAACUGUGAAGGAAAGCGGGGAACCGGGGGGAACACCAAAAAAGGGGAAUCACUAACCAGUAACCACUAACCACCAAAGUGGUUAUCUACAUCUGGUGUUUCCAAAAUAGAUGCUGCAAAAUCUGCAGAUCCUCCCAUUAUUACUGCUUCUGUUCGUCCUACAUCAGAACAUAGUAGCUGUUCAGACUCUCGUAUAGCAGGCCCUAGAAGCCAGCCAGAUUCCCCUAUACAAAACUCCAGCAGUCAGCCAGAUUCUCCUGUACCAGGCCCUAGUGGGAGGCGGCAUUCCAGUAUUACAGACUCGGAUUCUAGUAGUGAUGAAUCCACUGGCACAAAAGCUGUUUUAAAAAGGCGAAAAGUAACUACAACCAGUUAUAAACAAAAAUUUCGGGAUAAAUGGUGUGAAGAUAAAAGAUAUGCAAAUUGGUGCAAAUCAUCAUCGGAUGGAAGUUCAGCAUUCUGUACUGUUUGUGACAAAAAAAUAAUUGGAGGAAUUACUCAUAUAAAAAGGCACAGUAUAACGUUACUACAUAAAAAAAA